Hylaeus volcanicus is the source of this 473-nucleotide long non-coding RNA. RefSeq lists it as uncharacterized. NCBI's taxonomy places the organism in Eukaryota, Metazoa, Arthropoda, Insecta, Hymenoptera, Colletidae. The record is from RefSeq and is a predicted model, not a curated record. The transcript is spliced from 4 exons.
UAAUUUUACUGAAGUGCCCAGAAAGAGUAACUACUUCUUUACCAGAUGUAAUAUCCCAUCCAUGAAUUUUAAAAUCAUCGCCUGCAGCAAAGACAAGUUUUUUCUCAAUGUUCGGAUGGAAAGCUAAAAUACUGAAAUUAUAUCACAAGACAUGGUUAAGUCUUACUGGCACUUUGAAUAUUAUGAGUACAAGCGUGAUGUUGUAAGUCCCACAAUCUGACAGUACCAUCACUGCCUCCAGAAACCAUUAAAUUUGUUUCAUUACAAUGAGCAAUGUGAAAUACAGGACCUUUGCCUGCAUAUGCAUGGGGCAGUUUGAUCCAUCAAACAAACAAUGAUAUGCUACAUUUCCACAGUUUAAAAAGACCACUUUUGUGAUGUGUAAUUAUAUUUACAUCAUUACUGAACGCAGUAAAUGUAUUAAUCACAUCUUUCUCUUCAUCAUUAUCACUUUGUCCCACAUGAGAUACUAU